Molecule: ribosomal RNA, 1242 nt
Filed under: metagenome
Description: bacterial LSU rRNA
Rfam family: Bacterial large subunit ribosomal RNA
Source: RNAcentral
UGAAUACGAGACGCUAAGGCGUCGAAGUAGUGUAUGUCAUACUUCCAAGAAUAGCUUGCACUGUCAUAGAUAAAAAACGCCUGUACCAUAACCGACACAGGUGGGUAGGUAGAGUAUACUAAGGGGCGCGAGAUAACUCUCUCUAAGGAACUCGGCAAAAUAACUCCGUAACUUCGGGAGAAGGAGUGCCUUAUUCGUAAGGUUGCAAUAACAAGAUCCAAGCAACUGUUUAUCAAAAACACAGGUCUCCGCUAAGUCGUAAGACGAUGUAUGGGGGCUGACGCCUGCCCAGUGCCAGAAGGUUAAAGAAGUUGGUUAGCAAUUGCGAAGCUGAUAACUGAAGCCCUGGUGAACGGCGGCCGUAACAAUAACGGUCCUAAGGUAGCGAAAUUCCUUGUCGGGUAAGUUCCGACCCGCACGAAAGGCGUAAUGAUUUGGAUACUGUCUCGGAGAGGGGCUCGGUGAAAUAGACUUGUCUGUGAAGAUGCGGACUACCUGCACCAGGACAGAAAGACCCUAUGAAGCUUUACUGUAACUUGAAAUUGAAAUUGGACUUUAUUCGCGCAGUAUAGGUGGGAGGCGUUGAUUAUAAUCUUGUGGGAUUAUUGGAGCCAUCAGUGAGAUACCACUCUUGUAAUGUUAGAUUUCUAACUUUGAAUCAUUAUCUGGUCAAAGAACAGUUUCAGGCGGGCAGUUUGACUGGGGCGGUCGCCUCCUAAACGGUAACGGAGGCGUACAAAGGUUUCCUCUGAACGGUUAGAAAUCGUAUCUAGAGUGUAAAGGCAUAAGGAAGCUUGACUGUGAGACCUACAAGUCGAGCAGGGACGAAAGUCGGUCUUAGUGAUCUGACGGUACUGAGUGGAAAGGCCGUCACUCAACGGAUAAAAGUUACUCUAGGAUAACAGGCUGAUCUCCCCCAAGAGUUCACAUCGACGGGGAGGUUUGGCACCUCGAUGUCGGCUCAUCGCAUCCUGGGGCGGUAGUACGUCCCAAGGGUUGGGCUGUUCGCCCAUGAAAGCGGUACGCGAGCUGGGUUCAGAACGUCGUGAGACAGUUCGGUCCAUAUCCGGUGUAGGCGUUAGAAUAUUGAGAGGAGCCUUCUUUAGUACGAGAGGACCGAGAAGGACAUACCUCUGGUGUACCAGUUAUCGUGCCAACGGUAAACGCUGGGUAGCUAUGUAUGGAGUGGAUAACCGCUGAAAGCAUCUAAGUGGGAAGCCCACCCCAAGAUAAGUAUUCUCA